UGGGGAAUAGUCUAGCGGUAGGACGCCUGGCUCUGGACCAGGUAGGCCAGGUUCGAAUCCUGGUUCCCCAGCCA
RNAcentral lists this transfer RNA (74 nucleotides) under Dehalococcoidales bacterium. Its description in RNAcentral is "tRNA-Gln". It matches the Rfam family "tRNA". Rfam says of the family: Transfer RNA (tRNA) molecules are approximately 80 nucleotides in length. The record is from RNAcentral. Lineage: Bacteria; Bacillati; Chloroflexota; Dehalococcoidia; Dehalococcoidales. RNAcentral also lists the same sequence under 1 other name.